CACUGUCACUCCUACGGGGAGGCAGCAGUGGGGGAAUAUUGCACAAUGGGCGCAAGCCUGAUGCAGCCAUGCCGCGUGUGUGAAGAAGGCCUUCGGGUUGUAAAGCACUUUCAGUUGUGAGGAAGGUGGUGUUGUGAAUAGCAGCAUCAUUUGACGUUAGCAACAGAAGAAGCACCGGCUAACUCCGUGCCAGCAGCCGCGGUAAUACGGAGGGUGCGAGCGUUAAUCGGAAUUACUGGGCGUAAAGCGCAUGCAGGUGGUUUGUUAAGUCAGAUGUGAAAGACCCCGGGCUCAACCUGGGAAUUGCAUUUGAAACUGGCAAACUAGAGUACUGUAGAGGGGGGUAGGAAUUUCAGGUGUAGCGGUGAAAUGCGUAGAGAUCUGAAGGAAUACCGGUGGCGAAGGCGGCCCCCUGGACAGAUACUGACACUCAGAUGCGAAAGCGUGGGGAGCAAACAGGAUUAGAUACCCUGGUAG
RNAcentral lists this ribosomal RNA (477 nucleotides) under uncultured bacterium. RNAcentral describes it as "bacterial SSU rRNA". It matches the Rfam family "Bacterial small subunit ribosomal RNA", at positions 325 to 793 of the family's 1533-position model. The record is from RNAcentral.